Corvus hawaiiensis (hawaiian crow) is the source of this 675-nucleotide long non-coding RNA. RefSeq lists it as uncharacterized. The transcript has 3 exons. The record is from RefSeq and is a predicted model, not a curated record. Lineage: Eukaryota; Metazoa; Chordata; Aves; Passeriformes; Corvidae.
UGUCUCAGCCAAGGAUUUUGAGCCAAGAUAUGAGGGAAAUGCUUUAACCAGAUGUGUGCCCAUGCCUGUCACUGAACUUUCAGAUGCUGGUAUUUAAAAAGAUUGUCAUCUCCCCUGCCUCCCAGCAAGGGAAGACUGAAGCCAUAGAGCAUGGAAUCCAGCCCUUCUUCUAGCUACCCAAGGGCAGUAAAAACAUCUACAGACUGAUCUUCUACAGCUGCUCUGGAGCACUGGAACUUCCAGUUGUAUAUGUUUUCAGGGCACGAGCCACCUCAGGAAAGCUGCUUUUCAAAAGCUGGCUCAGCUACUGAGCUGAAACAUAUGGAUCCAAACCUUGCUCUGCAGCAGCUUCCAACCAGUGUUCAUCACUAAGACAGCACAACUACAGGGGAAAAAAGCAAACCCAAAACUGAUCACUGCUACCGAGCGAUGAAGGGAAGGAAAGAAGGAAGAUGUGAUAUGGCGACCUGUAGUGGGGAAGAAACAGCAGAAUUAGGCAAGAGCAGUGCCCAGAGGAGAUGCAGAGGGAAGCAAUUUUGGUCCAAAUAGCAAACUUUGGAGUAUUUAUAGUUCUGAGUUGGGAGCUGAACAAAAUAAACACACCCCUUGGAAGGAGUGAGGGACUUAAGGUUCUACUGAGAGCAGCCUAUCUCUCCUGUAGGAGAUCCAGUUUGA